RNAcentral lists this ribosomal RNA (255 nucleotides) under uncultured bacterium. Its description in RNAcentral is "partial small subunit ribosomal RNA". It matches the Rfam family "Bacterial small subunit ribosomal RNA", at positions 26 to 285 of the family's 1533-position model. The record is from RNAcentral.
AGGACGAACGCUGGCGGCGUGCUUAACACAUGCAAGUCGAGCGGAAAGGCCCUUCGGGGUACUCGAGCGGCGAACGGGUGAGUAACACGUGAGCAACCUGCCCCUAGCUUCGGGAUAGCUCCGGGAAACCGGAAUUAAUACCGAAUAUGGCCAUGGACGACAUCAGCCAAUGGUGGAAAGUUUUUCGGCUAGGGAUGGACUCGCGGCCUAUCAGCUAGUUGGUGAGGUAACGGCCCACCAAGGCGACGACGGGUA